AGGCAGCAGUAGGGAAUAUUGGACAAUGGGCGAAAGCCUGAUCCAGCAAUGCCGCGUGAGUGAUGAAGGCCUUAGGGUUGUAAAGCUCUUUUACCCGAGAUGAUAAUGACAGUAUCGGGAGAAUAAGCUCCGGCUAACUCCGUGCCAGCAGCCGCGG
RNAcentral lists this ribosomal RNA (157 nucleotides) under uncultured Sphingobium sp. RNAcentral describes it as "partial 16S ribosomal RNA". It matches the Rfam family "Bacterial small subunit ribosomal RNA", at positions 346 to 520 of the family's 1533-position model. Lineage: Bacteria; Pseudomonadati; Pseudomonadota; Alphaproteobacteria; Sphingomonadales; Sphingobiaceae. The record is from RNAcentral.